GUGAGGAUUUUCCGUCACCGUUAAUGAACUUGCAGCUUCCUUUAUGAUUGGCAAACCCGGUUUAGCAGUGGUCUCCUUUGUGAUCAACAUUGGGUGAUAGUUUUUCCGAUUUCCUAGCUGGUUUGAUCGGUUUAGUGACUUGGCAUUGAAGUGAACCCUAAUCUCUCAAGGUCGAGCUGCUAUAUCUACCGUCCUUUCCAACUCCAUUCCUAGUUUUCUUUGCCAAGGUUAAAAACAAAGCUUGACCUAGAUACUGUGUAACAUUUGCUAUCCGCUGCAAAAACAAAAACCCUAAAGUUACUUGAGGUACAAGGUAUCUAGAAACGCAAACCAAUCAGUACGGUUCACUGUAGCUUUAUGUUGUAUCCUAGCGAGAUUCUCCUUCAUUGUUUCAAAACCACCACACCAAUCAACUUCUAGCUUGUGCAGCUUGAUCUUUAGCUUCGACCGAUUCUUCUAUCUUUUGGUGGAGUCUACCUUGUGUCAUAUACAAUAAAAGCAUCUGACUCUGUAUAUUGUACAAGUUCCUCGUCGUAAUCUGUAUGGUCUUUUUCUCGCCUCAAAAGUUCAAGAAACCCCAAUAUUGGUGCAGUAAAACAGUUCCAUAGUUCUAGUAUGCUUGGAAAACCUUCUGAAUGUGAAUAAUAGCCAUCUCUAUGGCACAAGAAGGUUAAUGAUGAGUGGUGCAAGCAAAUGGCGAGAGAAAGAGGAGUUGUCUGGUGAAUAAACCCAUAUUGGUGGUUGACAUUUUAACCAAAGGGUUAGUGUGAGGAAACUAAGCAAAACAAAGGACGAGAGUCGGCAAUAACUGGUAGUUUAAGGGUCAUUUUGCUAUUAUUGAGUUGUUGGGGUUGAAUUGUUGAAGUUGCUAAAAUACAAGGGUCGAUAAAAAAAAGUAAAAAGUCUUAAAUUGCUCCCGGCGGGGCUCGAACCCGCGACCUUCGGCUCAUAAGACCAACGCUCUAACCAACUGAGCUACGGGAGCUUCUUGUUUGUUAGUAUCCAUAUAUUAUUGUUGUCAAUUCUCACUCGUCUCUUAUCUUUUUUUUCAUGAAUUAUGUUAUUCUAUGUUAGUAUUGUUGAGCACUUGGUACAAAGAAUUCAACGCCAUAGAUUUUGCUCAGAAAAAUAACACAUUAUUCAUGAAGACAUCUGCACUAGAAGCUUUGAACGUGGAUAAUGCUUUCACUCAACUACAUUCUCAUAUAUACCGAUGUGUCAAACCAAAAAAGAUUUGAAUAUCGGAGAUGCUAAUCCGGAUACUCUCCCUACAGAACAGAGUAUCAAUUUAGGGUUUAAGGACAUAAAGGUUCAGAUGCUGCUCAACUUGAUGUCCAUUUGUUCGGUAACAAUUAG
This is a long non-coding RNA of Raphanus sativus (radish), 1356 nucleotides long. RefSeq lists it as uncharacterized. The transcript is spliced from 3 exons. NCBI's taxonomy places the organism in Eukaryota, Viridiplantae, Streptophyta, Magnoliopsida, Brassicales, Brassicaceae. The record is from RefSeq and is a predicted model, not a curated record.